Long non-coding RNA from Sander lucioperca (pikeperch), 962 nucleotides. RefSeq lists it as uncharacterized. The transcript is spliced from 3 exons. The record is from RefSeq and is a predicted model, not a curated record. NCBI's taxonomy places the organism in Eukaryota, Metazoa, Chordata, Actinopteri, Perciformes, Percidae.
GUUUGAUAUCUUCUGAGAGUAAAGACACAUAGAGACACGACUUUUCUCAACAUUGAACCUUUGAACUUGUUCCUAGUACAUUUAUUUUUUUAACAUUUUGAGAAGAUACUUCAGCUGCCACACUCAGCUUUGAGCUCCCGGCUGCAGGUGUCCCAUUUUGUGAUGGCUUCAAAUAUGUUCUCCACUAAAUCUGCCCAGGAUGACCAGGUAGCUCAAACUAACAAGUGCAGUCUUUCCUGGGCCAGUGCACCUUCGGCACAGUUGCAAAGUGCACGAGGAUAGCCGUCAAGAAGACAGCAGCCAUCAAAAUGAUGAAGAAUCAGGGCCCUUUAGUCACACAGGCAAAACAAGAGGUGGCCGUCCUGUUAAAACUGAGAUCGCUGGACUCGGACAAAUGCAACUUAGUUUGAUGGUUUGAGCACUUGGACAAAAGUCUUUUAGACUUCAUGAAGGAAAGAUAUUUCCGACCUCUCCUUCUGAAGGAGAUCAGACCUAUUGUCCAGCAGGUAUGUUCUGAUGUAUUUCUUUCUGCUUUAAAAACACUGGCCGGUGACGUGUCAGCUGCCAUGCGGGGCUCGUACAUUCAGACCUGUCCCUUCAGGUGAGUGACUGGAACCAUGGUUGAUCUGUUAGUGGUGUAUUGGUGGCUGUAAAGGAGGGUAUAGUAGAAGUUAUUUUACUGUCGAAAUAGUGGAAAUUGUACUUUAUGGCUAGUGUAAUCAUGGUUGUUUGUCUUCUCUCAGGUCUCCAGAGAUUAUAUUGGGGCUUCCAUUCACAGAGGCUAUAGACAUGGUCUUUGGGCUGCAUGGCCGCUACGCUGUACCUCGGCACUCUACUCUAUCCCGGCAGUAGUGAAUAUUAUAUGAUUAGGUACAUAGUGGAGACUCAGGGUGAGCCACCAGACAACCUGCUCACCAAGGGAUACAAGCAGGGCUUAAUUUGAGCCGGAACAUGUUCCGGCA